GGAUUGUUGGCUCAGUGGUGGAGUGCUUGCCUAGCAUGUACGAGGCACUGGGUUCGAUUCUCAACACCA
This 69-nucleotide transfer RNA is filed under the name Marmota monax (woodchuck). Its description in RNAcentral is "tRNA.Ala". Lineage: Eukaryota; Metazoa; Chordata; Mammalia; Rodentia; Sciuridae. The record is from RNAcentral.